Molecule: long non-coding RNA, 3517 nt
Filed under: Bemisia tabaci
Lineage: Eukaryota; Metazoa; Arthropoda; Insecta; Hemiptera; Aleyrodidae
Description: lncRNA ENSSSA1UGG009471
Source: RNAcentral
ACAAGACAACGAUCUGGUGAACGUUUGAGAGAGCGGUCCAGUGAACGUUCUCAACGAAUAGCAUCGAAAGAUCACUCCAGGAGCAAAGAUGAUUCAAGAAGCUCAGUAAAGUCUAGUGUCAAUAUUACUGAAGACAAGAAGCGUGAUAGGCGGACAGAUGAUGCUCAGGCAGCAUCCACUCUAGCUAAGCGUCAAAAAAUAAGUAUCUCUGAGAUCGCCAAGGUGGAACGGGAGCUUUUGCGAGGUGUGCAGAAAGUUGCUGCUGUGAAGCCACAGGUUACAUCUCAAGUCUCAUCCCGGAGUUUAGCUCAAUCUUCACGAAGUCAUGAGCGUGAAUCUAGGAGCAGCCAGUCGUCGUCUCGUAGGAAAGAAAAGGUGCCUGAAAAUCGGCUGGCCAGUCAAGUGAUUGCCAAAGAACCGGAGCCAGAGGACGAGGAUAUUGUUGCAGAUGUUCCAUCGGUAGUCAAAGUCACCCCCCGUCCUGUCAUUCCAUCAGCAAAAGCAGCACCCAGGAAUCUUAUUUUGAAGGCAGUUGCAGAGGCAGAAAAAUCUAUUCAAUCAUCUCCAGUUAGAUCAGAAAAGGAUGAAUGGGGCGAAGACGCGGUUGGCGAGCAAGGAGCGUUGAUCAAAGACAAAGAUGCCGUUGCUGCCCUCGAAACAUCCCUCAAGUACCUUGAACAGCAUGGUGCAGAUCUCAAGGACAUUGCUGUCAUCAAGUAUUGGCUCCACUUUGCCUCGUUUGAAGCAUCAAAUGAACUUGCGUCAAGCUAGGAAGCUCAAUUGAUUUCGUGCAAAAGAAAGUUGUUUACUAACAUUGUCUCCUUGGGGUUUUAAUCAAAGUACUAAAUGCAUCAUUAUCAGGCUAUCAUUCGCAAGGUUGCAAAAGUACUGAUCAAAAAAGCGGAAUUCAAUAAUGCCCUGGUCGCAAAAAUAAGAAAAAAGAAGAAGCCCAUAAACCCGCAGUCAAAGAACUGCUUUUUCGAAGCAUUCAAUGUACAUAUGACUGAAUGGCGAAAAUGAAUUGACAACUGUACGUUUUUCCUUCCCUUGUCCUGUUCGUCCAUUGUUGAAGAUUUUCACUUCUCCACAAAUAACGAUUUCCCAUUCCCCCAUAAUAAUCUACUUAUUGACCAUUAAAAAUAUUCAGCUACUGGUCAAUUUUUUCAUCAAGUGAAUCAGUUUCUCUCUUCCUCACAGGACAAUAUUUUUUUUCUCUCUUUCUUUGUAACUUACAACAUUUAGAUUUGUAACAAGGUGACGCUUCUAUUUGACAGCAUGAAUCGAGUUUUUUCUUUUUGUUGCGGCGGUAUCAAGUCUGUAUUCUAUUUUUGUUUUUCUUUUGAAAUUUUUCAAUUAUAUUCAGGGGACUUUUAGAAGUGUUGUCCUAUAGUUGUGAUUUUAUUGCCUCGUUUCAUCUAAUCUUGAUCUCGACAAUCAGGUUUCUUAUACACCAUAAAUAGCUAUCUAGUUGAUAUUAGCUUCAAUUCUUUAAAAUCUGUCAUACUAAACAUAAUACAAUCUUGCUUCCUCUCUUAUGGAAGGAAUUUGUUGUUUCAUCGAUGAAUUUAAGUUAGCCAAAAUGAAACAAGAAUAAUUAUUGAAAAAAUAAAAAACUAAAAUAAUAAAAAACCUUGUUAAUAGUUCUUUAAGUGGUUUGUACUUUACCAAAAAUGUUCUAGAAAAUUUAUUGUAAUAUUGUUGUGGCAAAGGUUUUUUAAUCAUUUCCUAGCUAAAUUUUCAUCUCUAUUACAUGUGAUCUGUGCCUAUCAAUAAAUGUUUACAUAAAGAAUGAUUUGUUUCGUUCCUCCUUAUCUAUUCAUAACAAAUGUAUGUGAACACUCCAACCAGAGUUGAUUAGGCAACAAUGAAUAUAGAAUAUAGAAGAAUAUAGCACAAUGAUGCCGAUGCCGUGCUUUUGCAGUAGCCAAUCUUUUUCGAAGCACUUAUUUUAAAUAUUAUGUUUGGUGGUCUUGCUAUGGUUUUACUGUAAUUGGAGAAUUUUUACCAUCUGAAAAUAUUACACAGGCUAACAUUGGUUCAGAUAAUCAGGCUCGGUGUAUCUUUGUUGUUAAGAUUUGGUUUCCCACAUCUAAAAAUUUUAAGGUUCCGAAAAUUCUGUGUUAGAACUAGAAUUGAAAUAGUGAAAAAUGAACAAUGAAGUUGGGGAGAAACUUAUUAUGAGUGGUGCAAUCAGAAACAUAGCUACUCCGAAUCCAGAUAAAUCAGGGAAAUUUGGGGUAAGCAAGUUGCCCUCAUCCUGUUUACCCCUGUGGCCCAUUCGAGGCAGGAAGUGGAAAUGUUAAUUACUCUUCCAUUUUUUUAUAUAUAGAAAAGAGGAAGUAGCCAGAAUUGAAGCUGAAGUGAAGAAAUUAAUCACUCUUUACCACUGACACUCAGCAAAUUUGCCAAAUCCAACUUCCGUCGGAGCCAUUCUGUUAGUCCUGAAGCAAAUCAUUUUCAGGCGAGGAAAGCAAAUUAAAACAGUUUUAAUUCAAUGGAAAAUUCAUACUUCAUCAGAUAAAUUAUCUGUUUGUGAGGUAAAUUAGAAACCCACCUUUUUGUAUAAUAGUUUUGUCUCUUGGAAUGACUAUUUCUGCCGAUAGAUUUCAUCAAAUCCUAUCGAUAAUGGCUCCCAAAAUAAUCAAGUUCAUGCGAAUUCCAAAGCAGUCUAGAUUUUCCCUUGAAGAAAAUUGUUCAAAUCUUAGCAUACUCAGACUGAAGGAAUUUUUCCUGUGCCUGCCUGUAUCCUAAGUAUUAAAAUGAAAAUGUCCGGAUGUUCUAGAUAACUUUACCAUAAGGAAUUUUCUUAAUGCCGGGUUUAUGUCCCAGCUAUGAUAUCUACUACAUCGGUGUCAUUUUGCAGCCACUUUCCACAGACAUUACGUAAAAUGUGUGAAAGUUAUUUAUUCUCUCUUACACCAGCAAUAUUUGCUGCAAAUUAUGUACUCAUUGCCAAUGAAGACAUGCAAUAUUAUUGCUAGGACUUUAAAGAUCUCUAAUGGAUGUGGUUUCAACAUAAAGAAGUAGGAGGAAGUCAUCCGAUUGCCGUGUGGUAUUUGUGACAUGUACGCUCUCAUGUACAUUAGUUUUUGUUCCAAAAAGUACCUUUUUGUUAUUAAUCCUCUACCCAUGUGAAGAAGUUGUUGGAUUCAUUAUUUCUCAACAGAAAAUGUUCAUAAUUUAAUUUUUUUUCACUAACUUACAUGUUGAUUUUAUAGCACUUGUGUGCGCUCUGCAACACCUAACCGCCACUGAUAGCGAUCCUGCUAGAGCUCCUCUGGCAAAUUGCAUCUCCUCAUUUCCUGUCUUAUUCCAUCAAUCCACGAUUUGACAGGGCGUCCUCUACACUAAUUUUUUUUUCUUAUUCUUUUAAAAAUUGGAUUGUUUUUCAAGAAAAAAAUAACAUUUAUUCUCUAGAGGUCUUUUGGUCUGAGGUAACAUUUUUCAGCUUUUCAGUGCCCAAUGAUAUCCCCGGGACCCAAAGUUUACUAAACUGAAACUUUCUCUUUAUUUUCAG